GAUGAACGCUAGCGGCAGGCUUAACACAUGCAAGUCGAGGGGUAGAAGGAGCUUGCUCCUUUGAGACCGGCGCACGGGUGCGUAACGCGUAUGCAAUCUACCUUUUGCAGAGGAUAGCCCAGAGAAAUUUGGAUUAAUACCUCAUAGUAUGUGAGGAUGGCAUCAUUUUCACAUUAAAGUCACAACGGCAAAAGAUGAGCAUGCGUCCCAUUAGCUAGUUGGUAAGGUAACGGCUUACCAAGGCUACGAUGGGUAGGGGUCCUGAGAGGGAGAUCCCCACACUGGUACUGAGACACGGACCAGACUCCUACGGGAGGCAGCAGUGAGGAAUAUUGGACAAUGGGCGGCAAGCCUGAUCCAGCCAUGCCGCGUGCAGGAUGACGGUCCUAUGGA
This 393-nucleotide ribosomal RNA is filed under the name uncultured bacterium. RNAcentral describes it as "bacterial SSU rRNA". It matches the Rfam family "Bacterial small subunit ribosomal RNA", at positions 28 to 422 of the family's 1533-position model. The record is from RNAcentral.